GAGAGGACUUGUUGACGGCGGCA
This 23-nucleotide non-coding RNA is filed under the name Arabidopsis thaliana (thale cress). Lineage: Eukaryota; Viridiplantae; Streptophyta; Magnoliopsida; Brassicales; Brassicaceae. The record is from RNAcentral.